RNAcentral lists this long non-coding RNA (503 nucleotides) under Zalophus californianus (California sea lion). Its description in RNAcentral is "lncRNA (ENSZCAG00015009826.1)". Lineage: Eukaryota; Metazoa; Chordata; Mammalia; Carnivora; Otariidae. The record is from RNAcentral.
GUUGGGAUGGAGCCAGGGCACUUGAAAGUGAGUUAAUCCUUUCCCCAUCAAAAUCCCCAGCAACAAUCUGGGUUUGUUUAGCCAUUUGGUACUGGCAUUUCAGGGCUUUUUUAUAAACACUGAGGGAAUCGCUCACUUUGGCAGUGGCCAGCACGGCUGUCACACCCGGGCGCCGAGUCCCUCUUGUUCGUGAGGGACGGCCACAUCGUACCUUUCAGGUGAGAAGAUGGUCUUAACUCUGCUCGGUCUGCCGGAGCCUCGGGGAUGGAUGAAUGGGGGGCUCACAAGUCUCAGGCUGAAAUGCGGAAUGAACACAUCUGCCAUAUCAUCUGAGUCCAAAGUUGAAAGGGGCUCUUCACCAAAACCUAGACAAAUAUUUGAAAGCCUGUCUUGGAAAGGAAGAUAAUGUCCAAUUGGUCUCUUUUAUAAUGCAUUUGUGUACAGGCGGGGGUGGGGGGGAAUGGGAUUUAAAAAUAAAGCCGUCUACGUCAGAGACUUGGAUU